RNAcentral lists this long non-coding RNA (979 nucleotides) under Capsicum annuum. Its description in RNAcentral is "long non-coding RNA (CANN_LNC002952)". Lineage: Eukaryota; Viridiplantae; Streptophyta; Magnoliopsida; Solanales; Solanaceae. The record is from RNAcentral.
GACUAGUGAGAUAUUAUUACCAUAAAUGUAAACUAAACAACUUGAACAGAAAAGUAAUAUAAUCAAACUAUUUCAUAAUUAUCACCUACAGGGUGAUUUAUAUGUUCUUCAGGAAUUGCAAAGAAAUCUGAAGCUUCCAAGUUCAUGGGCUCAAAAUUAUCUUCAAGGAGGAAGUUUGUUUCGAUAUCAUUUUCUGCCUUCUUAAGGGACGCCUGAUAGAGUUUUACCAGAUUCUUUGGCGUACGAUAGGUACGCGACCAGUGACCUUUUUCCUCCAUAUCGAUAACAUCUACUUUCAGAGUCCGUCUUUGGCGCUGCUUUAGGAGCUCCCCCUUUAUUUUUGCACUGCUGGUGCUGAGGUUUAUUAUUUAUUACAAGGCGAUCACCCUGAUUAAAAUACCUGCCACGACCACGACUGGGGAUAGGACUUUUUUUACACCUAGUUGGGCGAAAAUUUACUGCAUUCACUUCUGGGAAUGGAGAGUACCAGCAGGUCGACUUUCAUGAUUUCUCAUUAAAAGGUCAUUAUGUUGUUCAUCAACAAAAAGAUGAGAAAUCAAUUCAGAAUAUUUUUUAAAUCACAUCUCUUGGUACUGUUGCUGCAGGAGCAUAUUCGAGGCGGAAAAAGUGGAGAAUGUUAUUUCCAACAUGUCGUGAUCUGUGAUAUCUUUCCCAAAUAAAUUAAACUACGAUUUAAUUCUAAACAUCACAGAAUUAUAAUCAGUUAUAUUUUUAAAAUCUUGCAAUCUUAAAGGGUCCAUUAAUAAUGAGCUUGUGGAAGAAUGACCAUCUUCAGGUAGUCAUAUCUUUCUUUUAAAUUGUUCCACAAUAUGAGAAGAUCUUUAAGCGUAAGGUAUUCCAUUUUUAAACCUUUGUCAAGACGAUGAUGAAGAAAUAUCAUGACCUUGGCCUUAUCUUGAUUUGAUGUCUUAUUGUCAUUUUUAUGGUGUCUGCUAGACCCAUUGCAUUUAAAUGUAUU